RNAcentral lists this ribosomal RNA (2917 nucleotides) under Aliifodinibius sp. S!AR15-10. RNAcentral describes it as "23S ribosomal RNA". It matches the Rfam family "Bacterial large subunit ribosomal RNA". Lineage: Bacteria; Pseudomonadati; Balneolota; Balneolia; Balneolales; Balneolaceae. The record is from RNAcentral.
AGCGAAAGCAUAACAAGGGCGCACGGUGGAUGCCUAGGCAUCGUCAGGCGAUGAAGGACGUGACAAGCUGCGAAAAGCUGCGGGGAGCUGCAAACAAGCCCGGAUCCGCAGGUGUCCGAAUGGGGAAACCCACCCGGCUUCGGCCGGGUACUCCUACGGGAGAGCCAACGGGGGGAAUUGAAACAUCUUAGUACCCCCAGGAGCAGAAAACAAAUCAGUGAUUCCCCAAGUAGUGGCGAGCGAACGGGGAACAGCCCAAACCGGCUGCCUACGGGCGGUCGGGGUUGUAGGGCCCACAGAAGGUAUGGAAGCAAAAUUCGAAGCGCACUGGAAAGGCGCGCCACAGCGGGUGAGAGCCCCGUAGGAGUACGGCGACCAUACUGGUGGGAUCUCCUGAGUAAGGCGGGACCGGAGAAAUCCUGUCUGAACCGGCCGGCACCAUCCGGCAAGGCUAAAUACUGACGAUGACCGAUAGUGGACCAGUACCGUGAGGGAAAGGUGAAAAGAACGCCGAGAAGGCGAGUGAAACAGUACCUGAACCCGUGCGCUUACAAGCGGUCGGAGCUGCCCUUUGGGCAGUGACGGCGUGCCUUUUGCAUAAUGAGCCUACGAGUUGCUCCUGACCUGCGAGGUUAAUCCGCUCAGCGGAGAAGCCGAAGCGAAAGCGAGUCCGAACAGGGCGCCCAAGUAGGUCGGGGCAGACGCGAAACCGGGUGAGCUAUCUAUGACCAGGGUGAAGCGUGGGUAAGACCACGUGGAGGCCCGAACCGCCUGGCGUUGAAAAGCCAUCGGAUGAGUUGUGGAUAGGGGUGAAAGGCCAAUCAAACCCGGCAAUAGCUCGUUCUCCCCGAAAUAUAUUUAGGUAUAGCAUCUGGUUAAAGCCGGCCGGAGGUAGAGCACUGAUUAGGCUAGGGGGCUUCACCGCCUACCAAACCUAGACAAACUCCGAAUGCCGUCCGGCGUUUCCAGGUAGUCAGCAACCGAGCGAUAACGUCCGGUUGCAAAAGGGAAAGAACCCAGACCACCGAUUAAGGCCCCUAAAUCCAAACUAAGUUGAACAAAGAAAGUUGGGUUGCCCAGACAACUAGGAGGUUGGCUUAGAAGCAGCCAUUCCUUGAAAGAGUGCGUAAUAGCUCACUAGUCGAGCGGCCCGGCGUCGAUAAUUUGCGGGCAUUAAGUUUGGUGCCGAAAUCGUGGGUUUGUCUCCGCAAGGGGGCAAGCGGUAGGGGAGCAUUCCAGCGGCUUUGAAGUCGGCCUGUGAGGGCCGGUGGAGCUUCUGGAAGCGAAACUGUAGGCAUGAGUAACGAUAAGAGGGGUGAAGAACCCCUCCACCGUAAACCUACGGGUUCCUGAUCAACGCUCAUCGGAUCAGGGUUAGUCGAGACCUAAGGUGUAGCCGAAGGGCGAAACCGAUGGAAAACCGGUACAAUAUUCCGGUACCACCAGGGGGUUACAGGCUAAGGCGUGACGCAGAAGUGACACCACCGCCUUCCGACGGAAUGGAAGGUUGAAGAGUGUAGGCCGCGGGGUAGGCAAAUCCGCCCCGCCGAGGCUGAAGCUCGACAGUACGGGGAGCCUGCGGGCAAACCGACAGUGUGGGUAAUCAGGCUGCCAAGAAAAGCGUCGUAGACUACUCUUUGGUGCUCGUACCAAAACCGACACAGGUAGGUGAGGAGAGAAUCCUCAGGUGCUCGAGGCAAUCGUGGCUAAGGAACUCGGCAAAUUAGAUCCGUAACUUCGGGAGAAGGAUCCCCUGCGGUCCGCCUUUUGGUGGAUUGCGGGGCGCAGUGACCAGGCCCAAUCGACUGUUUAACAAAAACACAGGCCUCUGCUAAGUCGCAAGACGAUGUAUAGGGGCUGACACCUGCCCGGUGCUGGAAGGUUAAGGAAGCCUGUUAAUCCCUUCGGGGAUGAAGCGGGCGACUGAAGCCCCAGUAAACGGCGGCCGUAACUAUAACGGUCCUAAGGUAGCGAAAUUCCUUGUCGGGUAAGUUCCGACCUGCACGAAUGGUGCAACGAAUUGGGCACUGUCUCGGCCACGAGCUCGGUGAAAUUGUGGUAUCGGUGAUGACGCCGAUUACCCGCAGCGGGACGGAAAGACCCCGUGAACCUUUACUACAACUUUACAUUGGCUUUACCGGCCGGAUGUGCAGGAUAGGUGGGAGGCUUUGAAGCCCUGGCGCUAGCUGGGGUGGAGCCACCGGUGAAAUACCACCCUUCUGGCAGGUGAAUUCUAAUGCCCCACCGGGCAGACAGUGUAUGGUGGGUAGUUUGACUGGGGCGGUCGCCUCCUAAAGUGUAACGGAGGCUCCCAAAGGUACCCUCAGCACGGUCGGCAAUCGUGCGCAGAGUGUAAAAGCAUAAGGGUGCUUGACUGCGAGAGAUACAGCUCGAGCAGCUGCGAAAGCAGGGUUUAGUGAUCCGGCGAUUCCGUAUGGAAGGGUCGUCGCUCAAAGGAUAAAAGGUACUCCGGGGAUAACAGGCUUAUCUCCCCCAAGAGUUCACAUCGACGGGGAGGUUUGGCACCUCGAUGUCGGCUCAUCGCAUCCUGGGGCUGGAGAAGGUCCCAAGGGUUUGGCUGUUCGCCAAUUAAAGCGGUACGCGAGCUGGGUUCAGAACGUCGUGAGACAGUUCGGUCCCUAUCUGCUGUGGGCGUAGGAAUGUUGUGGAGCCCUGCUCCUAGUACGAGAGGACCGGAGUGGACGCACCGCUGGUGUACCAGUUGUCCCGCCAGGGGCACGGCUGGGUAGCUAUGUGCGGCAGUGAUAAGCCGCUGAAAGCAUCUAAGCGCGAAGCACGCUCCAAGAUAAGCAUUCCCCAAGAGUCUGCUGGAAGACGACCAGCUCGAUAGGCGGCAGGUACAAGCGCGGUAACGCGUUUAGCCGAGCCGUACUAAUCAGACCACCGGCUUUGCUUA